This 3499-nucleotide long non-coding RNA is filed under the name Homo sapiens (human). RNAcentral describes it as "HSALNT0385407". The record is from RNAcentral. Lineage: Eukaryota; Metazoa; Chordata; Mammalia; Primates; Hominidae.
AAGUUGCAAAGUCAUACCUUUCUGCUCUUGUCAGACAAUUAAGGGGUCUUUGAAUACUUCAGCUCUAAUAAUUUCCUUCCUAACAUACAUAUUGCAGUGCUUAUCUAAUUUUAAAUAUCCUUUUGUUUCAACACCUAAUUUUCUAUUUUGAUCUAUCUGUAUGUUUACAAUAUAUUUUGCUCUGUGUUCAUUCUUUGAUUUCAGAACUUCAAUCUUUCUGAAGCGUGUUUUCAGUUUCGUUUGAGUUUCUUUAGUGGAAUUCUGCUGGUGGUGUUUUGUUUUUUGUCUCUAAAUAUGUUAUUUAGCCAUAGGUUGAUGAAUGUUUUUCUUGGUUGAGAAUUUCAGAAUGGCAUUAUUAUUCUUAACAAAUAAUAUUGUUUAUUUUACCUUUCAUGCUUUCAGAUUUCAAUAUGAUUAAAGGUAAUUUGAUUUUUCUAGUGCUAAUUGAAAUAUUUUUCCCUUCCUGAUUGUUUACUAUUUCUCUAGGAGAUAUGUAGAUGUAGGUUUAUCUCCAUCGUAGCUUGCUUAGCAUGCAUAGAAGUUUUGAAUAUGUGGAUUAGUGUCUUACAAAAGUCUAGAGAACUUUCAGCCAAAAUACCAUCACAUAUUGUCCCUUCCCUGUUCCCUUCCUCUAUGAGAACACUCACUAAACACAUGCUACACUUUCUCACUGUAUCUUCCAUGUCUCUUCAUGAUUCUGUCCACAUUGUGCCUUUUUUAAAAUUUUCUGUAAUGCAUUCUGAAAUAUUUAUGAACUCUCACCAUGGCCAUGUCUAAUCUGAUGAGUUCAUUUUUGAGUUUUUAAUUUAAAAUACUAUAUAUAAACUACUUUUCAAAUUUACUACAUCAAUUUUUUAGUCUCCUAAAAAUAUAUUCAUUUUUUUUUAAUUUUUUGAAAGCAAAUGUGCUUUAUAAUCUAACAGUGAUAUUUCUACUAAUGAACCUUUGUGGAUCUGUUUGUACUCUUUUUCUGCUUUCCUUUCAAAUGGUGGAAUAUCAUUUCCUUGCGUACUUAGAUGCCUUUGAAUGACAAAGAUUUAUUUUUCUCUGAAAAUUAUUAUUGUGCACUUUUGCAUAUUAGAAGAAAAUUUGCCAAAGAGAAUUUGAAUUUUUUGUGAGUCUACUAAAGGCACCACCAUUCUGGGACCACAUUAUAUUAAUUCUUGGCCUAAAGGUGUUUGGACGUAUGUUUGGACAGCACAUUUAAACAAUUUUUAAAUUAAUUGCUGUAAAUCAUUAAUGAUUGAGUUGCUUUAAAUCUGUCCAAUCUCAAGUCAUUUUUAUUUGCCAUUUCCAGGGAAUGUGAAAUGAGACUAAUUUACCUCUGAUUCUUCUUUAGACUGAGGAUAUAAAUUUUGGUUCUAGCUUUAGGGAAGAGCUCCUGUGUGAUGCCCUAUCUUGGGAAACACUAUGUAUUUCUUUACUGUCCUAUGUGAUGUAUGACAGUAGGAAUCUGCAGUCAUUCAUUUUGCUACAUGUCCGUAGGGCAAAAUCAGUUUCAGUGUUUAGGUGUAUUUUGUCUGCUCCCUGCAUUCCCAUGGUUUUGACCUUAUAUUUUACUUUUUUUUUGUGAACGUACCAAUGCUUCAAUUUUUUUCCAGUAAUAUAAUCAACUAUACUAUAAGAGAAAAAUUUUGAUAAAACACAAAUUUCAUGUUUUCCUACUCUAAUUGGCUUUUACGUAAAAAUACAGGUAAAAUUUAUUUGUGCUUUUUUGCUAUUAUUUUUUGCUAUUCUCUGUUUGUCUAUGUCUUCACCACAUAGACACAAUUAGGGAAUUUUGUACACUCUUGUGCCAACUGCUUUGAUAGGAACAAAAUGUAUUUCUCGAACUCCUAGGUAUAAAACUCAAGUAUCCAUGAUUGAAAUUCUUUUUUGCUCACUUCUAUUAUGUUUCCAGUCUCAAUAGAAAUCGAUGCCAAUCCAGAAAUACAAGCAUUAUUCUAAUACUUCUCACACAUUACUGCAGGAGUGAGGACACAGCGAAAGUGAGACAAGGAAAAGAGAACAAAAUAAAACAGGAAAGAUAGAAAAGCCAAUACCACACGUGUUAAGAGGUAAGUUCCUGUGUUAGAUAUCUGGGCUUAAUUUUAUGGGAAGCUAUGUGGAGCAUGCCUCAGAAUUACAUCACUGAAUCCAGGGAGAUUCUUCUUAGCUACCCUCACCUUUUCUUCCCACUUCAUGCCCAGUAACAAGCUCCCGUGCUGCUAGAGAAAGUCCUCAGCUAGAAACUGGUGCAAAUUCUGGAGAUGAGACCUUGUAGAGUGUUAAGAAUGGUUUUCUUCCCAGCAGCUACAGAUGAUCAAGAAGGACUGCAGAAAGGAGGAAACAGAAACAAACAGCACACCUCUUGGUUUAUUUGUAUUCAUUUCAUCAGUUUCAAGGAAAAUAUGUUGGGAGUUCCUCGCAUAGAGAAUGUCACAAAGACAUGUUUUCAAUAGUAGUGCUAUCCCUAGGGCAGAGAAGACCCAGAGAAAGCCCAAGUGGCUGCUGGAACACAGUCAGACACCGUGCCACCUGUCCACACUCCUUGGCUCUGCCAUCAUGCUGAAGAUCGCUUUAAAGGACUGGCUUCCCUCCCCCCAAAAUGAAUAGAGCACAGACUGAGAAACUGAAUGUGGGAGACAGCAGUGGAUUAUGCUGUUCUCAGGGGUCACCUCAGGUUUGGAAGCAUUCUUUCAAAUUAACCCAUCUCAGGCCAUCUGCAGAGAAGAAAGGUGGUACCUAACUUUUUUCUUGUCAGCAUUUGGUAGGGGUGUUUUAUUGACCAAAUAUGUUCCCACAACCUAGUUUUUUGUGAGUAACUAAAUAUAGUAGAGUUUUAAAUUUUAUCAUCAAAAUCUAUAGACAAUUUUUGAUGAAAAUAGACUCCAUCUCUAUGUCCUGCUUUUCUUCUUCUUAUUAAUUACAUUGCUGUAUAAAAGAACAAGACUUCAGAAUCAAGAAUAUCUUGUCUCUUGGCAUUGAAUUUAUACAAGGUGCUCUUUCUUUAAUGCUGUCUCAAAGGACAUAUUUUUACUCAUUAAAAAGGAAGAUCGGAAUCUAGUUGUAUGCGCUGCUCCAACAUAUUAAUAAUUAAAAUUAGGAGGUAAAUGUGGUCAAAACUAUAGAAAGACUGAGAUGUCAUUUAUAUUGAUUGCUGUAUAGCAUUCUACAAACAGAAAUUGUUAAAUAAGUUUAUAUAAAUAUUUUGUAGCAUUUCAAAUAUUUGAGUGCUUGACGUUUCUCCUCUUCUAUAGUUCAGAUUAUCAAUUUGAAGACUUACUCCGCUAGUUAAAAUGUUUUUAGUCUCGUUCGAGUAUUAUAUAAAAGCAAUUUUCAGUUAAAUGUGUUCCGCUUACAUACAACAUUACAAAUUAUUGAGGAUUUAAUUACUUAUUCAUGUUCCUGUAAUAUCUUUAGAAGAUUUUCUUAUUAUUACCUAUCAAUAUAUGUAUGCUUUGUCAAAGAAAAAUCAAACAUAUAUAUCAUUGAAAUUGAAACUUUUUAAAAGUACUUA